Cicer arietinum (chickpea) is the source of this 432-nucleotide long non-coding RNA. RefSeq lists it as uncharacterized. The record is from RefSeq and is a predicted model, not a curated record. NCBI's taxonomy places the organism in Eukaryota, Viridiplantae, Streptophyta, Magnoliopsida, Fabales, Fabaceae.
CAUUGCAUUCUCUUUUCCUUCAUAGUUAGAUUUAGUAUGAAAUGAAGCAUUAUGAUCAUGUCUCAACAUUGUUAGAGAAUGAUCACAUAUCAUCAUUUCCUUUUGUCAUCAUCACCCAGGAAGAACAACCAAAACUUAUGAGUUGGAACACUCAUUUGAGCAAGAAAAAACAAGCAACUUAUGCAAAAGAAUGGUUGAGGUUGUAAAGUAUUUACAAACCUCAACCUCGAACUUUCAUGUCGAAAGUUUAAACGUGUUUAGUAUAACAUUGACCACGGGAGUACUAUGUUAUUCUCUAAAACACUAUUAUCUACUAGUGCAAUAAUGUAUGUUACUACAAUUAUUUAGUGUUAUUCCCUAAAACAGAAUUGAUUUUUAUUUUUAUUAAAUCCAUAAACAGAAUUGAUAUGAUACUUGAGAUAAAUUAUACGA